AUAUCAAUAAGCGGAGGAAAAGAAACCAACAGGGAUUGCCCCAGUAACGGCGAGUGAAGCGGCAACAGCUCAAAUUUGAAAUCUGGCCCCUAGGGUCCGAGUUGUAAUUUGUAGAGGAUGCUUUUGGUGAGGUGCCGCCCGAGUUCCCUGGAACGGGACGCCACAGAGGGUGAGAGCCCCGUCUGGCUGGCCACCGAGCCUCUGUAAAGCUCCUUCGACGAGUCGAGUAGUUUGGGAAUGCUGCUCAAAAUGGGAGGUAUAUGUCUUCUAAAGCUAAAUAUUGGCCAGAGACCGAUAGCGCACAAGUAGAGUGAUCGAAAGAUGAAAAGCACCUUGAAAAGAGGGUUAAACAGUACGUGAAAUUGUUGAAAGGGAAGCGCUUGUGACCAGACUUGGGCGCGGCGGAUCAUCCGGGGUUCUCUCCGGUGCACUUCGCCGCGUUCAGGCCAGCAUCAGUUCGGCGCGGGGGAAAAAGGCUUCGGGAACGUGGCUGCUCCGGCAGUGUUAUAGCCCGUUGCAUAAUACCCUGCGCUGGACUGAGGACCGCGCAUCUGCAAGGAUGCUGGCGUAAUGGUCACCAGCGA
RNAcentral lists this ribosomal RNA (584 nucleotides) under Trichoderma erinaceum. Its description in RNAcentral is "eukaryotic LSU rRNA". It matches the Rfam family "Eukaryotic large subunit ribosomal RNA", at positions 40 to 647 of the family's 3401-position model. The record is from RNAcentral. Lineage: Eukaryota; Fungi; Ascomycota; Sordariomycetes; Hypocreales; Hypocreaceae.